RNAcentral lists this ribosomal RNA (229 nucleotides) under uncultured bacterium. RNAcentral's name for it is "partial 16S ribosomal RNA". It matches the Rfam family "Bacterial small subunit ribosomal RNA", at positions 568 to 796 of the family's 1533-position model. The record is from RNAcentral.
UCCGUAGGUGGAUAAUUUAGUCAGAGGUGAAAUCCUGCAGCUCAACUGUAGAAUUGCCUUUGAUACUGGUUAUCUUGAGUUAUUAUGAAGUAGUUAGAAUAUGUAGUGUAGCGGUGAAAUGCAUAGAUAUUACAUAGAAUACCAAUUGCGAAGGCAGAUUACUAAUAAUCAACUGACACUGAUGGACGAAAGCGUGGGGAGCGAACAGGAUUAGAUACCCUGGUAGUCC